CUGGAUUUGCACCUGGGGGCCUGGAUAAGUCAUGAUCAUCUUCCUGUUCCUGUUAGACACAGACACUCUUUGGAGAUUUGAAGAUACCAGAAAAUGUCAUAACCUGGGGGAAUGACAGUGUGUGUGGGGUUUCCAGCACUAGGGCAGGCACGGUAGGAGAGGAAAUUGGGGAGUAGAGGGUCUGUUCUAAAUCCAUGACCUUCAGGAUGAUGAUGUUUUGAAGAGUCUGCUCUGAAAACUGAUUGUCGGUGCCCAGACACCAGGGACUCCGAGGAUUUCCUUCUCGUCAAAGGCUGGCCAGAACUGUCAGAAAGGAAUCAUCAGACAACUUCCAGGGGCUCCUGUAAAGCUCUUUAUGACAGGUUCAAUUGUGGCCUUCCUUCCCCAGGUGUCCAGCAACGACUCUUUCAACUGCAUCCUGACCUGGCUCUCUCCUGUCCUCCUAGCUCCUCAGUCAGUUACUUCCUUCCUGGCCCUGGGCUUCCCCAGGUCCUCAUGCUGUGCCUGUCCCACCCGCAGAGCCUUCCCACUAAAAAUCCCAAGAUAGGGAUUUUCCUCCCUGAUCAGGAGUGGGUUGGAGGGAGAUGCCAGAGUUCUUGGCACAAAGGAAAUUGGGGUUAUCCAUGGAUGUAUAUAGCAAAUGCUGUAUGAGGAGUGUAGAUUUUGCAGAUGGACUUGCUUUAAAACCAUCUUUAAGAUUAUUUGAGAGGCUAAAAUAAAAGACAGUGAAAAUACUAGUGUUAGCAAAGGUGUGGAGCAACCAGACCUCUCAUAUGUAGCUCAUAGGAGCAUACAGCUACGUUGGAAAACUACACAGGAAAACUGGCAGUGUCUACAAAAACUACACAGACCCCUACCUCAUGAUGCAGCAACUCCACUCCUGGGAGUACAUGCCCAGGACAUGAAUAUGUAUGUUCAAUAAAAACAUGUUCUAGAGAUGUUGAUAGCAGCAAUAUAUGCAAUAGUCCCAAACUGUAAAUGAUUGAAUGCAUAUUGAUAAGAGAACAAAUAAAUAACUUGUUGUAGGGUCAUACAGUGGAAUACAAUUCAGUAGUAAGAAAAGAACAAACUAGUAUUAUCAUGUUAUGGGCUGAAUCGUGUCCCUCUUCCAAAUUCAUACGUUAAAGCCCUAACUGCUAGUAUGUCAGAAUACAACUGUAUUUGGAGAUAGGGUCUUUAAAUAUGUAAUUAAAUUACAUGAGGUCAUUAGGGCAGGCACUAAUCCAGUAUGACUGGUAUCCUGCUAAGAAGAAGUGCUUAGGGCACAGACACACAAAGGGAAGACCAUGUGAAGAUACAGGGAGAAGGCGGCCAUCUACAAGCCAAAGAAAGAGGCCCCAGAAGAAAUGCAAUCUACCAAAAGUUCAGAGCUUUGGUCUCCAGAACUGUGGGGAAAUAAAUUUCUGUUGUUUA
This 1413-nucleotide long non-coding RNA is filed under the name Homo sapiens (human). RNAcentral's name for it is "HSALNT0263698". The record is from RNAcentral. Lineage: Eukaryota; Metazoa; Chordata; Mammalia; Primates; Hominidae.